UCGCCUAGUGAUGUUCAAACGUUACUUUUGUAUUAUUAUGUGUGACUGUGUGCAGUGACUACCGCAGUUUCAGCCUAAGGUUCCGUUUCGCCAGCCGGUGCAUGAUGCACAGCUCGUGGCUAUCACGCUAGUGAACACGAAUCGGGAUGGGGGGGGAAAAAACACAGAUGAGAAGCUUUCCCCGGGAUUAAAACCCCGUCCUCUUGAAAGGUUCUAUAUCGUCGGUCGUCGUUAGUCGGCGUCGGUUUCCUUUCUGUACAGUGCUCUCUACAGCGAAAAAUCACACAAAGCACAACUACACGUAAAAUGGUGUGCUUGAAAUGUUUUAUUGGGUUUUAAUUCAGGUCUUUUUACACGUGGAAGUCAGAUGGGAGACCUGAAAACAACAACGGACAAAUUUGUUACAUAGGGUGGCAAGAAGUCCAGAUGAAAUGGACUUGAAUGAAGCAAUACAGUGACUUGCACUGUUGCAGGUGUCCACCAGAUGCUGCAAGCAGACAGAGCCUUUGCAGAAAAACCACAUGAUUUCACAUGUGGAAAAUCAUCUGAUUUCACGUGACAUUUCCACAUGUUUUGCACAUGAGAAAUCAUGUGUUUUUGGAACACAUGACGUGAUGAUAUUUCACAUGUGGAUUUUCACAGAAUCCGGUGAGGCACAGCAAGAGAUGUCGAUCCAGCGGGGGAAAAAGAGAGGAAGAGAGAAGCUGCUCAGAAUUUCACCCCUGGAUUCGGAACGUUUCGGAAUCGCCUCUACUGCAGAAUAUUUGCUGCAUGACUGACUCAGACCUUGGCCGAUGGCACGGGACUUUUGGCCAAUCAGAGAACCCCAUGGUCAGACAGACGGACAGCCCUAGCAUGUCUCCUGGCCCCUCCUGUCUUCGCCUCCAGUAUUUAUGCUGCAGUAGUUUAUGUGUGAGUUUGUUAUAUCUGGAGUAUUUCUCCUGUCUUAUCCGGUGUCCUGUGUGAAUUUAAGUAUGCUCUCUCUAAUUCUCUCUUUCUCUCUCUCUCUCGGAGGACCUGAGACCUAGGACCAUGCCUCAGGACUACCUGGCAUGAUGACUCCUUGCUGUCCCCAGUCCACCUGGCCGUGCUGUUGCUCCAGUUAACUGUUCUGCCUGUGAUGAUUAUUAUUUGACCAUGCUGGUCAUUUAUGAACAUUUGAACAUCUUGGCCAUGUUCUGUUAUAAUCUCCACCCGGCACAGCCAGAAGAGGACUGGCCACCCCUCAUAGCCUGGUUCAUCUCUAGGUUUCUUCCUAGGUUCUGGCCUUUCUAGGGAGUUUUUCCUAGCCACCGUGCUUCUACACCUGCAUUGCUUGCUGUUUGGGGUUUUAGGCUGGGUUUCUGUGCAGCACUUUGAGAUAUCAGCUGAGGUAUGAAAAUAAAUCGAGAAAUUACAAUAGUGGAUCCAAACUCUCAUCUCCUUUUCAAAAAAAUGAAAAAAAGUUGUCUUCCUGACCUGGUUGACUGGGACUAAGGUACUGGAGUACCAGUGUAGGCCACCGGGUCUGUGAUGGUCCUUUGGGGUGAGGUAGUAGGUUGUAUAGUUUUAGGGUCAUACCCUUCCUGUCAGAUAACUAUACAACUUACUGUCUUUCCUGAAGUGGCUGUAAUAUCAUCCAUCAUCUCUGCAGCGCGCCCGCCACCUGGACCUCGAUGGGAAUAUGUACUAUGAACCAAUUCAAGAUGAUAACAUGCUUGUAAUGUCAUUCAUAUGGCAUCUAUGCAUCAUUUGGUUCUGUUUUGGUAUGGCUCUUUGUUCAUUUCAAUACUUUUGUUUGUAUGAUGUAUUUAUUAUUUUGCCAUGAAAGUGAUCUGCCUCUCUGAUGUUCGCACGGGGUGAGGUAGUAGGUUGUGUGGUUUCAGGGUAGUGAUUUUGCCCCAUCAGGAGAUAACUAUACAACUUACUGCCUUCCCUGAAGGGCAGCAACACUACACCAGAAAACUCCAGAGGGCGCUGUUGGCACCACGUGAUAAUCUAGCAUUGGUACGAGGUCAUCUAGCUUUUGAUCAGCUACAGAGGUGACUGCAGCGUUUCAGGUAAAGUCUACUGACAAUCUAGUAUUACGAUGUAGCUACCAUGUUAUUUGAUCACUUUGAAAUAGUAUUUAUUCAAAUAAGCAAUAAAAAAUUAUUAUUUUAUAAAUGUCAA
Molecule: long non-coding RNA, 2151 nt
Organism: Oncorhynchus masou masou (cherry salmon)
Lineage: Eukaryota; Metazoa; Chordata; Actinopteri; Salmoniformes; Salmonidae
Exons: 7
Source: RefSeq, a predicted model, not a curated record